This is a long non-coding RNA of Patiria miniata (bat star), 1035 nucleotides long. RefSeq lists it as uncharacterized. Lineage: Eukaryota; Metazoa; Echinodermata; Asteroidea; Valvatida; Asterinidae. The record is from RefSeq and is a predicted model, not a curated record. The transcript has 4 exons.
UGCCCACUCCAGUAAGUACAGCCAGCUGAACAAUACUUCAAGAAAAGCGCGCCACCUGUUCCUUAUCAGGAAAACUGACCAUGGAGAGUCUCAAGUAAGGCUGACCUACUACAUGCAUGAUUGAUUGCCUUCAGCAAAAUAAGAACUCUGACACAAGAUGAUGGGUCAAAGAAGAGGAAGAUUGGUGAGAUUUAAGAUGGGUACAGCAGAAAGCACCAACUGAGCUCCCUGAGAGAGUGAAUCUUUCUGAUUGUGCUCAGAAUUGUAGUAUUUCAGGGCAUCAACGGCUGAUGAUGAGAAUAGAUACAAAAACAUCUGAAGUUAAGAAGCACAAGCUGUUACAAUAUAGACUGAGAUGGAAGAUGAUCUGUCAUGAUGGAAUGUCAGAUAUUCUAGUGCUGACUGUCGAGUGACUGAGACAUCAAAUGAUUCAACAACAGCACAGGAAAGUGUCAUGAAAAGUUUAUGCAGCUCAGACUGAUGACCCUCCAGACUGUCAUCAGAGGUGAACUUUUUGGCCAAGGUUGACGGUCUGUUCUUCGCAGAGUCUGGAAGCACGAAAGCCCGAGGGCGCUGUCUAAGGAGGAGGAGGCGGGGCUUAGCGGGAGGGGUGCCAAACAUACCCUUAACAACAUAACUUUUCUUAUGGCAGUUAUGCAGUUUCGAUUGAUGACUCCAGAUUUGCAUCAAAGGUACAAGAUUUUUUUGGCUAAAAGAGAUGUCUGUUCUUCGCAAAGUCUGAAAGCACGUAAGCUAGAGGGCGCUCUUUACCUAGAAAGAGGCGGUGCUUAAGGAUAGGGGUGCUAAAGUUAACUUUUCCUGUGACAGUUUUGCACUCACAAAUGAUGGCCCUCCAGAUUUUCAUCAGAUAUGCAAGACAUUUUUGGCCAAAGUUGACAGUCUGUUCUUCGCAAAGACUGAAAGCACGAAAGCUAGAGGGCGCUCUUUGGGGAGAAAGAGGUGGGGCUUAGUGAUAGGGGUGCUGAACAUGCCGUAAACCAAAUUUAACUUUUCUUGUGGCAGUUUUGCAGUCAC